UCAUAACCGAUGAUACACGAAUUUAGAAUCAUCUCUUGCUCGAUUCCUUAGUCCGAGGAUUCGAUGGCGGGCUGCGCGGAAGAAGGGGGCUGUUCCAGCGACUACAUUGCCGUCGCCAUUUCUGUUCUGUCCUUGAUCUUGCUUCUUUACCGAUCGAUCCUUCCCUUUGUGAUUCACAAAUUUUCUCGGACAAAAGGGAGCGGCUUCUGGAUUCCUGUGUUUCAAGUCUUUGCCAGCUUUAACCUUGUACCAUCAAUUAUGAUGUCCGUUGACUUGCUGAAAUAAAAAGGAGGCAUUGGUGGCAGUCUUGCUACAUUUGGGCAGUUUGGAUUGAAGGUCCAGUUGGAUUUGGUUUACUGCUCAGCUGUCGUAUAGUACAGGCAUUCCAAUUGUAUUUCAUAUUUGGCAAGAGGCGUUUACCAACAAUGAGGUCGCAUGUCUGUCUUCCAUUGUUUCUCUUGCCAUGGUUUGCUGGGGCAGCCUGUAAGAACUCUGAAGUUUUUACUUAUUUAGUAUCUUUCAUCCAUUGUUAUUUGCAAAUGAAAGACAGAAAACCUUUUUGCCGGUAUACGGUUGAUAGUCUAUUAGGAUUGUUGGCACUCAUAGGCGCCUUAUGAUAUACUUUCGUGGGUGAAAAGGUUGAUAAUCCAUUCCUUUGUCUGUGGGAAAUUAGAAGAAAAUAGGAGCUUUAGGUGUUAAUAUAUCCAAUUGAGGUCGCCCUUCAUUAGGGUGAAUAAAAAGAGAACUUUUGUGCUUGCAUAGGCAAUGAGGAAAGCUGCCUCAGUAGACGUGUUUGCAUUUUUUAGUGGAAUUAUUUUCUGCCGUGUGCUUGUGGGUGGGGUUGUGUUUGUCCUGAGCAUUGGAGGAUGGUUAGUUUACACCUUUUACUGGAAGUCACCGUGGAAUGGCAUGUUUCUAGAAAGGCAUAACAAGAAUCUUGUUUCCAUCUUCGCUUGGGUCAUUAUUCUUGUUCUGUCUUACUACGAAAUUUUGCAACAGAAUCGUCUACUGUCAAGCACUAUAAGAAAUUGCAAGUAUACGAGGCACAUGGGCAGUGAUAGAGUUUCAGUCUAGACAUUUGCAUAGCUUUGACAGGAAUGCUUGUGUCAUGCUGUAGUUGUUCAUAUGAAGCAGCCUCUGAAUAAUCAUUGUCACAUGGGUGCUCAAUGGGUUAUCCCAGUAGUCUCCUUCCACACGUUGUAUGUCGCCACUCUUGUUGCAUUCACGGGAGCAAUUCGCCAUAUAGAAUUCAGAUUUAAUGAACUCCGAGAUCUCUGGAGAGGAAUAGUUGUCUCUGCGUCUUCUAUUGGUAAGAUCCUUCAGCAUAGUAUCUCAAAAGAUAAUUUGUCUUUGCCUAGUCCGUUGAUUAUAUUCAUGUACUUGUA
This is a long non-coding RNA of Syzygium oleosum, 1385 nucleotides long. RefSeq lists it as uncharacterized. The record is from RefSeq and is a predicted model, not a curated record. Lineage: Eukaryota; Viridiplantae; Streptophyta; Magnoliopsida; Myrtales; Myrtaceae. The transcript has 5 exons.